Peromyscus californicus insignis is the source of this 856-nucleotide long non-coding RNA. RefSeq lists it as uncharacterized. Lineage: Eukaryota; Metazoa; Chordata; Mammalia; Rodentia; Cricetidae. The record is from RefSeq and is a predicted model, not a curated record. The transcript has 3 exons.
CCGCGCGUCCCUGGGGCGGCUGCUGCCACUCCUGUGCCGGCUGCUGCUAAAAGAGGACUCGGCUCAGCCCAACUCCUGAUUAUCCCAGCACAGAGCUCGAGGCGACACUAACUCUUCAAAGAUGUUUAUAUAGCAGUAACCUUGGAGGGACCCUGAAAGAUGGAGACAAUAGUACCUCCAUCUGCAAUAAAGGAAUGAAGCUCAGGACAAAAUGCCUGACACAUAGAUACUCAUGCUGCCUGCUCGCUUGAUAAUCCAGGAGUUUUCAUCAUAACUGCUACCAGCAUCCCUGAAACUAUAGACAGUUCAUUUGUUACCUUAAAAGAAUUAGGAUUUCUUGAUAUAUUUUAAAAACUGCCUAAUAUCUUUCCCUAAAAUGGAACUGUUUGAUUAGAUUGGACAGACAGACAGAUAAAUAUAUGAUAGAUAAAUUAGAUACAUUAUUAAUAGAUCAUAGAUAGAUAGAUAGAUAGAUAGAUAGAUAGACAGAUAGAUUUUAUUGCUAUUGUUGUUACUUUGGAGUUCCAAAGCUUGGAACCACAACCUUUUUAGCAUGCUACCAAGCACUCUCCCUACCACUGAGACAUAUCUCAAGACUCUUAUCAUGGUAUUUUUUAUUAUUUAAAAUAAAUUUUAAGUUUAAAUAUAUUUUGAGCAUAUUCUUUCCUCCCCCCAAGUCUUUCCAGAUCUUUCCUCCCAUUCAUGUUUCUUCUCAAGAACAAAAACCCAAUACAAGAACAAAACCCCAAAACCAAUAAAACAGAGUAAAACCACACUCAAAAAGGAAAAAUUAAAACAAAACAAAACAAAAGCACCAAACUGUAAUGAAAUAAAAGCACAUGCGCAUGCGCGCGCG